Molecule: ribosomal RNA, 1006 nt
Filed under: Shigella flexneri
Lineage: Bacteria; Pseudomonadati; Pseudomonadota; Gammaproteobacteria; Enterobacterales; Enterobacteriaceae
Description: bacterial SSU rRNA
Rfam family: Bacterial small subunit ribosomal RNA
Source: RNAcentral
ACGGUAGCUAAUACCGCAUAAUGUCGCAAGACCAAAGAGGGGGACCUUCGGGCCUCUUGCCAUCGGAUGUGCCCAGAUGGGAUUAGCUUGUUGGUGAGGUAACGGCUCACCAAGGCGACGAUCCCUAGCUGGUCUGAGAGGAUGACCAGCCACACUGGAACUGAGACACGGUCCAGACUCCUACGGGAGGCAGCAGUGGGGAAUAUUGCACAAUGGGCGCAAGCCUGAUGCAGCCAUGCCGCGUGUAUGAAGAAGGCCUUCGGGUUGUAAAGUACUUUCAGCGGGGAGGAAGGGAGUAAAGUUAAUACCUUUGCUCAUUGACGUUACCCGCAGAAGAAGCACCGGCUAACUCCGUGCCAGCAGCCGCGGUAAUACGGAGGGUGCAAGCGUUAAUCGGAAUUACUGGGCGUAAAGCGCACGCAGGCGGUUUGUUAAGUCAGAUGUGAAAUCCCCGGGCUCAACCUGGGAACUGCAUCUGAUACUGGCAAGCUUGAGUCUCGUAGAGGGGGGUAGAAUUCCAGGUGUAGCGGUGAAAUGCGUAGAGAUCUGGAGGAAUACCGGUGGCGAAGGCGGCCCCCUGGACGAAGACUGACGCUCAGGUGCGAAAGCGUGGGGAGCAAACAGGAUUAGAUACCCUGGUAGUCCACGCCGUAAACGAUGUCGACUUGGAGGUUGUGCCCUUGAGGCGUGGCUUCCGGAGCUAACGCGUUAAGUCGACCGCCUGGGGAGUACGGCCGCAAGGUUAAAACUCAAAUGAAUUGACGGGGGCCCGCACAAGCGGUGGAGCAUGUGGUUUAAUUCGAUGCAACGCGAAGAACCUUACCUGGUCUUGACAUCCACGGAAGUUUUCAGAGAUGAGAAUGUGCCUUCGGGAACCGUGAGACAGGUGCUGCAUGGCUGUCGUCAGCUCGUGUUGUGAAAUGUUGGGUUAAGUCCCGCAACGAGCGCAACCCUUAUCCUUUGUUGCCAGCGGUCCGGCCGGGAACUCAAAGGAGACUGCCAGUGA